UACGGAGGGUGCGAGCGUUGUCCGGAUUUAUUGGGUUUAAAGGGUGCGUAGGUGGCUUGAUAAGUCAGUGGUGAAAUACAGCCGCUCAACGGUUGAGGUGCCAUUGAUACUGUCAAGCUUGAAAGAAUUGGAGGCUGCCGGAAUGGAUGGUGUAGCGGUGAAAUGCAUAGAUAUCAUCCAGAACACCGAUUGCGAAGGCAGGUGGCUACGAUUGAUUUGACACUGAGGCACGAAAGCAUGGGGAGCAAACAGG
This 253-nucleotide ribosomal RNA is filed under the name uncultured bacterium. Its description in RNAcentral is "partial 16S ribosomal RNA". It matches the Rfam family "Bacterial small subunit ribosomal RNA", at positions 524 to 776 of the family's 1533-position model. The record is from RNAcentral.